Molecule: ribosomal RNA, 751 nt
Filed under: uncultured prokaryote
Description: bacterial SSU rRNA
Rfam family: Bacterial small subunit ribosomal RNA
Source: RNAcentral
GANGGCAGGUUACUAAGCAACAACUGACGCUGAUGGACGAAAGCGUGGGGAGNGAACAGGAUUAGAUACCNUGGUAGNNNACGNNNUAAACGAUGCUAACUCGUUUUUGGAAUGUAAGUUUCAGAGACUAAGCGAAAGUGAUAAGUUAGCCACCUGGGGAGUACGAACGCAAGUUUGAAACUCAAAGGAAUUGACGGGGGCCCGCACAAGCGGUGGAUUAUGUGGUUUAAUUCGAUGAUACGCGAGGAACCUUACCAAGGCUUAAAUGGGAAAUGACAGGUUUAGAAAUAGACUUUUCUUCGGACAUUUUUCAAGGUGCUGCAUGGUUGUCGUCAGCUCGUGCCGUGAGGUGUUAGGUUAAGUCCUGCAACGAGCGCAACCCCUGUCACUAGUUGCCAUCAUUAAGUUGGGGACUCUAGUGAGACUGCCUACGCAAGUAGAGAGGAAGGUGGGGAUGACGUCAAAUCAUCACGGCCCUUACGCCUUGGGCCACACACGUAAUACAAUGGCCGGUACAGAGGGCAGCUACACUGCGAAGUGAUGCAAAUCUCGAAAGCCGGUCUCAGUUCGGAUUGGAGUCUGCAACUCGACUCUAUGAAGCUGGAAUCGCUAGUAAUCACGCAUCAGCCAUGGCGCGGUGAAUACGUUCCCGGGCCUUGUACACACCGCCCGUCAAGCCAUGGAAGUCUGGGGUACCUGAAGUCGGUGACCGUAACAGGAGCUGCCUAGGGUAAAACAGGUAACUAGGGCU